GGGGGGGGGGGGAAGGGGGAUGGUGGCGCGUGUGCGCGCGCGCGGCCGUUUCACGUCGGUUAGGCUCGAGCGGGUUCCAUUGUGACCCGCCGGGCGAACCGCGCGGAGAGCCCGGAUAAUGACGUCAGCGCGGCUGCUGCCUUCUGGGCCCGGUCCGGCCUGGCCCGGCCCUCCCCUCCGCUCCGCCGCCGCCGCGCUGGGCCCCGUGGGGGUGGGGGCGGCGUGCUGGGGUCGCUCCGCUGGCGCGUCCCCUUGGGCCCGGCGGCGGCCUUUAAGCGGUGGCGAGCGGCGCCGCGCCGCCCUCGGGUUGCCGUGCGGGAGGCCCGGCGGACAAAGCCGGGGGGAGGAGGGCAGAGGCGCCCUCGCGGCCCGGGACGGGCCCGGGGUCUGCAGGGCCCUGGGCAAGCAGGGGGAGGGGCGGGGUUGCCCGCCGCGCGUGCGGCGGUUGCACCGGGCGGCGCUGCUGCGGCCGGGCCGUUCCCCGGGCCCCGGCCCCCCGUAGGCCUCGGGCCCGCCGGCGGACAGCGGGCUUUGGGCAGGGCCUGGGAGCUGGCAUGGACGGGCACAGGGACAGGGCUUCGUGCCUCGCCGCAGCGCUGCCUCCGGCAGAACGGAGACUGCUUAGGGGACACCGGCACUUAAAAAGCCACUUGGGUCUUUUAUUGCUCUUGUUCCUUACGUACAUAUGUGACUAUGAAUCAUAGUAGAGCCCUAGUCUGAGUAGGUACUCUAUGUAGCAAUCUGGGAGACAUUAAACCUGGAUUUAAAAUCUGGAAAAAUGGCAAAGCGCAUCUUGUGGAAGGACAGAAGUUUGGCAGACAUGGGGAACUUGAUCAAGAGAGUACCUGAAAUGGAGCUUAAUGUUUCAUUUUGUUUGUCUGUAUUCCAGGGUCAAAGUCUUGUUUCAACAUCAUCAUUCAAGAACUUCAGAGCAGGAAGUGAAAAGUACAGUAUCCAGGUGAAAACGCAGGAGGAAUUUAGCUUGCAUGGGUUGGAAUUUGCUCAAGAGGCUAGGGCUAACAGCCUUAACUCCUGUGCAAAAUGUUUAUCUUUUGGACCAUGCAGUGACAAAGACUAAAAUACUGCUUGCUCAUUGCAGGAGCUGUGGUUGUAUCAUGUGAGAAGGAAAUCUGAAGUAUAUGUCUGUGUUAACCACUCAGCGAACAAAACAAAGGAUGCAGCUGCUUCAUCACUGUACAAAUGCAACAGUUUAUUUACUGAAAGAAUAGGUUUACAUGCAUUUUCUUCAUCAACAAUAAAAACAAGCCAUACCCAUGGUGAAAAUCUGUGUAAAUGUAAGUCUGUUCAUGCUCAGGUUAGAAAUAUGUGCAAUCAUAGAAAGAGCAGCCCUUUUAUUUUAGUGAUUUUUCAUGCCUCUGAGCAUGUCAUUGUGGCCUCCUUUUUCCUUUUGUCCCUUAUGAAUUACUUUGGGCUUUCCCUGCUAUUUCCAAUUUAUCCAGUUUGUUUUCCUGGCAAAGCAUUUAAAAUUACUGCACCUAUAAUGCAUUGAACUUUACUUGCCUGCCUAAGUAUUCUCCCUUGAGAUCUGCACUGUUUAUGGUGACUCAGAGAGGCACAACAGCACUUCAGUUGUAGUUUUAUGUUUUCUGACGCUUCUUAUCCUUAAAAAUAAACUGUGUGUUUAAUGAUGGUCAUUUCUUUUUAUUAUUAAGUAGACCACUGUUUUAAUGACAGGACAAAUACUGUGUUCCUUCUAACUGCUUUGGCUUUUUUGGCAGAGCUGAACAGUGACACAUCAGUGGAUUUUUAUAAUGUGGGCAAUUGUCCACUGAGAAAUUGACUGUCAGUUCACAUAAAAGUCAAAAAAACCCAAAAACCCAACAACCAAAACUGAACAAUACUUACGGAAACAAUACUGGUACAACUUGUAGCAAGUAUUUCCUCUUGUGAAGAAGGAUUCCUUCAGCCAAGAGAAAGAGUAGAAGCUCUGAUUAAUUCAAUUGAAGCCUUAGGUUUGGAACAAACUAAGAACUGAUUCCUCUUCAGCUUUCCAGGACCUUUGGUGGUAUUUUUCUGAUUUUGGAUUCUACUUUAUGUACAGUUUGCAGAAGCAUAAUGAGAUAUUAGAGGAAUUUUGCACUUGUAUGGGAGAAAAAGAUACUUCAUGUUUAUUCUCUUACUUUUAUAUUUGACCUUGUUCCUGUUUUAAAAGUAUGUUGUGAAGUGCUUUGACAGACCAGCACUUGCUUAUAGCCAUGCUAAUCAAAGGUCACGAUGGGCUGAAGUAGACAGCUAUUUAUGGCACCAAAUAAAAGACAAUAUUGGGACA
RNA transcript from Falco peregrinus (peregrine falcon), 2290 nucleotides. RefSeq lists it as uncharacterized. The transcript is spliced from 2 exons. The record is from RefSeq and is a predicted model, not a curated record. Lineage: Eukaryota; Metazoa; Chordata; Aves; Falconiformes; Falconidae.